RNAcentral lists this ribosomal RNA (228 nucleotides) under uncultured bacterium. RNAcentral's name for it is "partial 16S ribosomal RNA". It matches the Rfam family "Bacterial small subunit ribosomal RNA", at positions 107 to 334 of the family's 1533-position model. The record is from RNAcentral.
UGAGUAACACGUAUCCAACCUGCCGUCUACUCUUGGACAGCCUUCUGAAAGGAAAGAUUAAUACAAGAUGGCAUCAUGAGUCCACAUGUUCACAUGAUUAAAGGUAUUCCGGUAGACGAUGGGGAUGCGUUCCAUUAGAUAGUAGGCGGGGUAACGGCCCACCUAGUCUUCGAUGGAUAGGGGUUCUGAGAGGAAGGUCCCCCACAUUGGAACUGAGACACGGUCCAA